UACCAGCACCCCGAUGUGCGGGACGAUUAUUGGGCCUAAAGCAUCCGUAGCCGGUCAUGCAAGUCCUCCGUUAAAUCCAGCCGCUCAACGGUUGGGCUGCGGAGGAUACUACGUGGCUAGGAGGCGGGAGAGGCAAGCGGUACUCAGUGGGUAGGGGUAAAAUCCUUUGAUCCAUUGAAGACCACCAGUGGCGAAGGCGGCUUGCCAGAACGCGCUCGACGGUGAGGGAUGAAAGCUGGGG
Molecule: ribosomal RNA, 241 nt
Filed under: uncultured bacterium
Lineage: Bacteria
Description: partial 16S ribosomal RNA
Rfam family: Archaeal small subunit ribosomal RNA
Source: RNAcentral